RNAcentral lists this transfer RNA (72 nucleotides) under Sphaerodactylus townsendi. Its description in RNAcentral is "tRNA-Ala". The record is from RNAcentral. Lineage: Eukaryota; Metazoa; Chordata; Lepidosauria; Squamata; Sphaerodactylidae.
GGACUGUGACUCAGUUGGUAGAGCAUCUGGUUUGCUUGCAGAAGGUCCCAGGUUCAGUCCCAGGUAUCUCCA